Long non-coding RNA from Acinonyx jubatus (cheetah), 3117 nucleotides. RefSeq lists it as uncharacterized. The record is from RefSeq and is a predicted model, not a curated record. The transcript has 3 exons. NCBI's taxonomy places the organism in Eukaryota, Metazoa, Chordata, Mammalia, Carnivora, Felidae.
AAUUACUUUACCAAACUAUGUUUGUUACUACCAGUUCUAAAUCUACAAAAUCCUCUAUGAGCCAGUCCUUAAUAAAACCUGCUCUCACACAAAAGAAGGUGAUAAUUUAGCCCACGAGGAGGAAAGGAAGUCAGCAUGUGGAGCUAACAAUAUGCUGGCUAGAUUUUAAGAGCCUCCCUGCUUCUGUCCCCGACAGAUCUAUUGGACAAGGAUGCCCUUUCAGGCGGCAAGAAUUACCAAUUCAUUUAUUCCCUUUCUUCUAGGAUUCUGCCACCUGCUUCGACAGAGAUGAAGAGCUUAACACACAAAGAAAGAAAGAAACAAAGUGCACGCAAGGCAUCUGUUCUCCCCGAAGAAUUCUGGAUCUCUUCCUUUCCCAGGACUCUGGCCAGAAAGGAGCCCCUUGAACCUGAAGGAGGUGAACGGAGGAUGCCUAUGAACACCCACUGCAGGUCACUUCUCCCGCCCCCACUGUACCCGGGUUUCCUGUGUUCUGGGGUCAUUUGCUACAGCUGAGCAGCUGCAGUGCAUGUUUCCACAAGCUGUCCCACCAGAGAUUUCCGGGUCUUUCUGGAAAGGGCCUCACCCCACUCCUGCAAAACAUCUGCCUUGCUGCCACUGGCUUAAGGAUUCCUUUCCCCUGCAUUCCUGUUGGUGAAUGGACUCUCCGGCCUCACGAGAAACCCCAGCCAUCCUCAACGACCCGCUCCACUUUUGUCCCCUGCCUCGAGGCAGCCCAUCUCCACCACCUGUGUCAUUUGGAGCUGUGCGCAUCUGCCACCUCUGUUCCAGCAUGACUGGGGCAGCCUCCCUCCACGGACGGCCAGCCCCCCGGGUCUCACCAGCCUCUCUGGUUCUCCUCUACAACCCUAUCACCACCCCCGGCAUGCUUCCCACUGCUUCUAGAAUACAGUCAAAUAUUCUCCAGUUUGACAGACACAGCUCUUCACAGUCUGGCUCAACCACUGUGACAGCCUGAUCUCCAAAUGCAGGACUGACUACAUGAAUUGCAGGGCCUCGUACAAAAGGAAAAACAUGAACAGAAAGAACUUCAGGAUGGCAACCACCGAACAUUAAACUAAGCAAGGUGGGGCCCUUGUAAGUGCGAGGCCCUCAGGCCCCUUCCUAUGUCUCCCUCAAACCCACCCCAGGAGGCAAAAGGCACUACCAUUACCGAUAAAAGCCCUUCUCACCUCUCUUCACCCUCACUGAAACUCGUCCCUCCUCUCAAAGAAGGCUUCAAAACAAGGAAACUGGCUCCCAAUCUUUUUUGUUUGUUUGUUUGUUUUUAUUGAAAUUCCAGUUAGUUAACUUACAGUGUAAUAUUAGUUUCAGCUGUACAAUAUGGCAAUUCAACACUUCCAUUCGUCGGCCGGUGCUCAUCACAAGUGCCCUCCUUAAUCUCCUCCUCAGCUGCCACCCACUUAAGUGACCCAUUCACGUGCCCCUGGCACUGAGCUCUCUGGUCCUCAUUUACAGUAUGGUUAUUUAUUUACCUGUCUCUCCUCCACACCUGAAUCAGACCAACAGUCCCAGGGCUCUGAGUUCACGGCUUAGUCAUUUGUGUGCCCUCCCUUCCCACCUUUCCAGAGCAAGAGUUGGUACACGUGAGGACUACAAUAAAUCUCUACUGAAUGACCACUAGGAAUAUUGCCCUCUCCUUCUAAUGGUCACUUAUGGGGCCUCCUCUGACCUUGCCAAAUGACCAGCGAGAGGAGAAAUUUUAAAAAUCCCCUGAAGACCUUGCUUUUACAUAAGAGAAGAUGCCCGGGCCCUCCAGAGGCGGAAUUACACAACGAGCUUGAGGGCGUCUGAACAGGAACUUCCAUUAACUACCAUUAUGAAACCUACUGGCCAGACACAAAGGCUGCACAUGUUGACUUUGGCAGUGGCUUCACAGGUGGCCCAGCUGGCGCAGUGGCAGAAAGCUCACCACCUCCUUGGCUGCUGCCAGCACCAUGGGGGGCAUGGAAGAGGGAUGGUAAACAGGAGAGCCAGCACUGCCUUCUUUCGUUUUACCCCAUGUGACAGAGGGGUGGGCACAGCCCGGAGAGGAAGAAGGUGAUCAAUGUUUAAUUCCCUACCAACUGCCAUUGGGAAGUAGAACAAAGGCAUAAGCCUUGCGGUUUUUGUUUUUACCUAGAAACUUUAAAUGAGAUCUCAUUUCCCUUGAAAUGAUUACCUCUUCAGGGAAAACGCUUGUGAACCCAUAAGUUCUCUUUGAGCAAAGAAGCAGAAUGAGGUAGGGAGAAGAGAUGAACUGUGACCACCACUACCCCUUAAAUGCGAACUUGCUUUAUUAUUCUUUAAGAGGAAGAAAAACAUUGGAAAUCCCAAAUAGCUUCCUAAACAUUCAGGCAAAGUUGAUUUUUCCAGCAAUUGGCAACCGACCAUGCUCAUGGGAGAUGGUGAGGCCAAGAGGAGGGAUGAUAUCGUUAUUAGAAUAAGCACAGGCAUUAAACUUUGUGUGCCCUCAAAUAUUAGAAGAUCUUCCCCAAAUUUAGUCAAGGAACAUCCCUCCCCCAACAGGCCAUUCAAUGACAAUAACAACAGCAACAGCAGCAGCUACCUUUUACUGAGCCGGUGAGUAAGGGCUGAGUCAGUUAUUCUCCAUCAUGUCUCUGUUGGCGCUGGGGACGAUCUGCACUCUCCUUGUUUACUGCCUUCCCCACUCAGUGUGCAGCUCCCCCAUAAGCAUGUAAGGUCACCUCUGAAAACCCAAGACCCAGAACGGUACUGCCAACCUAGUAAAGUCUCAAUGUGAUCUCAGAUUUGUCAAAAAACAGAUCAUCUCCAUCCUUCCAGGGCGGUUCCCAUUCAAUAAAAGAAGAGAAAUCAAGUAACACACUCAGGGUGUCUAAGGGAGGACAUUUCAGGUUUUGGUCCUUCAGCUACCAUUCUGUAUGUUCAGAACAGUUUGUUUCAGAAGUCCCGGGCAUUAAAGCACCCUUUACAAUGUUCAUUGUAGAGACCCGUUUUCUCUGCCACAUUUCACUCAGCAAACGUUUCCCACAUAUAUUCCUUAAGAGCUACUUUCCUCCCACCCCCUAAGUUGAAGCUGGUUUUAAUGUUACAGAAAAAGACUUGGAUUGCAAGGUACUCAGCAAAUGCCCUAAG